AGACAGAGAGAGAGAGCGAGGAGCCUGCGGACCUGGUGAGGAAGACGAGGACAGUGAUGAAGGCAGUGAUGAAGACGAGUCAUCAAAAUGUGAGAGACAAUGUCCAGCCAAAAGACUUAAACCAUGAAGCACCCAGGACUCUGUCUGAGACAUGAUGACGUCACAGGUUUACCUGUUUGAACUGUGGAUGAUGAUGUCAGGUGAUCAGUCAUAUGACUGAGUAGAAACAUAAAUAAAGCUGUAACAGGUGUCUCAGGUAAAGAAAGGGUUUGCUAAAAGGUCUGCUUCUUCUCCUACGAAUCAAUCGCUGCCUGAUCCAGAAUCAGUCCUGAGUGGACAUCCUCUUUCUAUUGGUGAGGACAGAUGGGGACAGGUGAGAGGGAGCAGCUAGAAACAACUCUUUGUCUUCCCUCAGUCGUCACUUCAAUAAAAUGAAAAAAACAAA
Paralichthys olivaceus (Japanese flounder) is the source of this 445-nucleotide non-coding RNA. The record is from RefSeq and is a predicted model, not a curated record. Lineage: Eukaryota; Metazoa; Chordata; Actinopteri; Pleuronectiformes; Paralichthyidae.